AACUUUAGCUGUAAAGAAGACUGCAGUUAUGUAGUACUUUGUAUCCAGGGAUCUCAAAGAACUUUACGCAUCAUUUAUUGUGAACCUUGUUUUGCAAAGAUUUCAGUUACUUGAGGCUUGGGAGGCGGAUAGGGGAUAAAUGUCUGAGUUAUAUAUAUAUUUACGCAAGUAAUCGAGUUUGAGGGGAGAGACACAAAACCUCUGGUUUAGCGGUUUCCUCUUGUUUGUGAAGCACCUUCUAGCAGUUAUCUUAGAGAUGUAAGUUCAUUUACUUGUCCAGCACUAAAAGGCCAAAGGGGCUUGUUUUCUCACCCAAAAGACCUUCCUGAGGCAGCUGUUCGGAUACAUGCAGAGCACAGCGCCCUGCUCAGAAAGGAAGGUUCAGAGAACAAAUUGUCGUUUAAAACUAUUGGGACAAACCUACCUCUUCUAAAGCUUAAAAUGGUCUCCAGCGUACCAGGAUUUGUGAAGGCCUGAAGUUCGUAGAAUGAAAUCUAUGUGGAGAUGAUUUAAAAGAACGGUUUCACUGGUUUGCAUUUCUUUCUUUUCUUUUUAAUUAAAAAAAAACAACAACCCUGGUUUCCUUAGGGAUUCAGGGUGGUGUUAUGCAAAAUCGGAAAGGUACACUUGGAGGAGCUAGCAAGUUUAGCAUAUCAAAGCUAUUAGACCAAUUUGUGCGGUUAAAACUGCCAUUCUCAUUUCUCAACAGCUGUCUCCUCUCUGUCCCUUUUUAGAGACCAACACAUAUAAACCAAGUCUACACAAGAAACAAAGGUAAUGGAAAUCUGCUAGUAUCAGGUUUAAAUAGAUCAAAAUAGAGUAGAAAACCCCAAAAGGGUCUAAGUUAUGUAGUUGGGUAAAGGUGUUGAUCUAUUUAGCCAGUGUUAGCUAAAGGUCGCUUGAUGCUGUGUAGACAUACAUAACUAAAGAGCAAUGAAUGGUGUGGGGAAGGUGCUUAAGAUUCAGUUAGAAGAAACUGUAAAAGCAAGUAAAUUCAGAAAAGGAGGGAAUUACCACAUGCCCUUCGAUGCAGAGAACCAAGAAAUGCAGGGAGAAAGUCAGCAAGGCACAGUUUUUCUAAGAAACACAUAUGUGUCCCCAUUUAGUGGUAAAUUUCUUGGGCUAUAUUCCUGGCUGGUUCUGGCUUUUAAAGCAGAUUUUAUGUGAGUACAUUUUAAAGGAAAGGAGAAAUUGAAGGAUG
Molecule: long non-coding RNA, 1201 nt
Organism: Homo sapiens (human)
Lineage: Eukaryota; Metazoa; Chordata; Mammalia; Primates; Hominidae
Gene: LNCRNA-IUR
Product: lncRNA imatinib upregulated
Source: Ensembl